Molecule: long non-coding RNA, 3452 nt
Filed under: Mus musculus (house mouse)
Lineage: Eukaryota; Metazoa; Chordata; Mammalia; Rodentia; Muridae
Description: long non-coding RNA chr2:173295532-173298984
Source: RNAcentral
AACUGCACACAUCCAGGAUGGGAGAUGAGCAGACGCUUCCUGGAGAAAGCCAUGGAUACGCUGAUGCCCUCUUACUUGGGGGAGCGCAGCAAUGUGCUAAACGGCCCCAUUCACAUGGUUCUUAGACCUUGCUGGAUCCCAAGGAUCAGUAAAAUGGCUAUUACUGGACAAUGUUCACUCAGAGAAGACAAAGUCUGGGCGCUGAGCAUCGUCAUCGAUUGGUGAGCCACUGAGCGUGGAUCCCAGAGGGCCAGAGCCUUUCAGCAAGACCCCAAAGUCACACGAGCACUGAAGACUCAAGCCCAUAGGCUAGGCUAGACACUUGCUGGGUGGGGGUGCUCCCAAUGGUAACAAGGGGUCUUUGCUGCACCUAUGGCCCAACUUGCAGUUGCAUAAGGUUUUAAGAACCAGAAAAAUUCAGGGUGUGGUGUGCGUACCUUCAAUCCCAACACUCUCAAGGCAGGCAGAUCUCUGAGUUUCCAGGCCAGCCAGGGCACUAUGGGGCACUACGCAGAGGGAACAGAGACAGUGCUGAUUGGGAGACACUGUGGGACUUCUAAACAGAUUCUGCCAGGCAGAGUUGGGACUGUGGGUGUGAGAUGCAGUUGUGAAUUUGGGGUAGAGAGAAGUUUAGGGGAGUCAUCCAUCCACAGACAAAGCCACUGGCACCACGUCUGUUUUACCUGUUUUUCUCAGGGGCUCCAACCACCACCAUCAGUGCCUUCAGUCCCGGAGGUUGAGCCAGGUCUUGCCCACCAUUCCAGCUUUGGGGAUGGGGUGUGGGAUACGCUUGGCCAAUCAGAACACUCCCUCCCCACAGCUAGUGACUGGCUUAGUGACUGGGUCAGGAGUGAGUGUGUGAGUCACUUCAGGCUAGUGCCUACCAGCCCUGACUCUGGGUCAGAAAAUGGACAGGGUAUUUUCAGAGUCCCUCAGCCCACAAGGCACACACAGACCCUUGUGCUCCGGGCUUCAUUCCUGAGCAGUGAGGGUGGUUCCCGUAGGUGCUGGGCUGCCCUUGCUCGUGACACUCGUCUGUGGUAAGAAGCUGGCCUCGCCUUACAGGUGUUCAUUCUGUGUCACCACACUCUGUGUGUUCAUGUCCUGCAGUCCAAGGACCGUGGCCUCUCAGAACCAUGGCCUUCUCAGUCUGUCACAGUUCACCCAGCUCACACUUGGCGAGAGCAUGAAUGAGUGGUGAGGCUGGACUCUAACGUCAGAGGGUGACAGCUGGGGUCCGCUCCUCCCCUGGGUUAAGUGACCUUGGGUGACCAAGCUGAUGAGAUUGGUUCGCAUCUGGACUGCAGAGCAAUUCUAAUACAGUGUGCAUGUGAAGUGACAGGUACCUUGGAACGGGAGUUGGGGACUGGAAGGGACAGAAGUAUCGCAGGGUGCUGGGCACAUUGGUUUUGUUUUUAAAUUAUUUGUACUGUGUGUGUAUGUGUCUGUCCUCCUAUGUACAUAUACCGAAUUGUAUGACAGUCAAGUCAGAGGACAUCCAUCUCGUAGGUCCUAGAGAUCUAACUCAGGUCAGCAAGCUUAGCAGCGAGUACCUUUACUCACUUGACCUGUCCUGCUGGCCCAGUUAUUUCUUUUGUAAUUGUGUGUGUAUGUGUGUGUGCGUGCGUAUGAAUGUGUGUGUUGCACGUGUGUGUACCCAUGGGGGAUGCACACCAAUGCACGAACAUGCAGAGGCAGAGGAUAUCAAGCAUCCUCUUUCCCUACUCUCCGUUCUCCUCCUUCUCUUUCUUUUUCUGUCAUUCCUGCCUUCUAUUCUGUUCUUUCCUUCUCUCUAUCCCUGUCAUUUACUGGGUCCUAUGCCUGUCAUGGGUAACUGUAGCUUACUCACCCAGAGCUGGAGCUGCAGGCCUCUAGCAGCUAUGUGGCCAUGGCUGGCUUAUUCCCAGAGCACAGAAGAGGGUUGGGUGGGCAGUGGCUUCAGCCCUCUACUGGGAGUACUGGAGAUCCAACAUGCAGGGAAUCACCCACACAAAGGUACAGGCAUGCCAUACUUUCCCAAAGUCGCCUAUACAAUUAUUUUUAGGGUCCCUGGAAGUACUUACAAGGCCAUGUGGGCAGAAAUAGCAUAUAUUCAGCUUUCUAAUCUGUUGGGCAUCUUUAUCAAGAGUCUAGUAGGGUAAUUAAAUACCAGACACUAAGUUACAUUUGACUUCCAAUUAAGCAAUGAGUAAUGCAUUUGUGUAAGUAUGUGCCAAAUAUCAUAUGGGAAAUGUUUACAUUGAAAACAGUUCUCUGUUAACUGAAACCUAUAACUAAUUGGACAACACGUGUUUGAAUUGGCCAGCUCUGGUAGCCCUACCCAGCAGAGAGAAGUUGGGCAAAUCUUUAAGUUUGUAUAAGCAAUCUCCUGCUGUGUAACAAAUUACCAUGAACUUUGCAGCUUAUAGAACAUGAUCUUGUGGUCUUUGAGCUCUUUAAGUGAAGGGUCAGGGUCAGGGGUCAAGAUGAUGAAGGUCUUUCUACCAGGUAGAUCAAGAUGGUGCCGGGGUUGUGGGCUUCCCUGACAUUGAACUGUAGGACAGGAAAGAAUCAAUCUCCAGCCUCCUGGGUUCUUGGUAAGAUGUUGUCUCUGUGGCUGUUGGCUCAUCCAAGGCCACUGAGGGAAAGGAUAUAGUGGGAAUGUGUGCAGCCGGCAGGAUUUCACAGACACGCAGUGUAUAUUCACCUCUAGCAUCGCUGUAUUCAGCUGCUGAGUAGCAAGCCCCAGGUCACCUGACCACAGUGGAGAGGAGUCUGACCAGGAGGAGACAAGGCCUUAGUGUCUGUCCUGCCCAGAGCUGUACCCCAUCUCCUCAGCUUUGUCACUUGGGACAGAAACAUUGUUCUCCUUUUUCUCUAGGCAGAGCCUGAAGCUCAGUUGCACUCCAUGUACAGAUGCUGAAAUAGUGAGGGCUUCUAAGUUGCGCUCCCUCUCUAACUCAGGCGACAUCUCUGCCUGUCCCACCUCCUCGUCCACCCUUUCUCUGUUACCAUUUCAGUGCCAGGAACUUCUGAGUCACAGGGUCUUGCUGGUGGUCACUUGCAGGAAUAGUAGGCUUCAGGGGGCUAUGCUGCCUUAGAGCCUGCGACAUCCGUGUUCACUGUCAACCUGACUGGAUUUGGAGCUACCUAGGAGACACAGCUCUGGGGGUCUCUGUGAGGAUGCUUCCAGAGAUGCUUGAUGGAUGAGGUACGCCCCUCACCCUGGAUGUGGGUAGCACUGUACAGGGGGCUGGGGUCCUGGGCUGAAUACAAAAUGAGCAGAACAGCAGCAUUUCCUGCACUCCACUUUCCAGUCUAUCCAGAUAGAGGAGUGCCAGCUGCAUCUUCCUGAGGCUGUGAAGUCGGCCACGCCUUUCACACUUCGGAGGACUGUGUGUUCAAACCCCACGCCUUUCACACUUCAGAGGACUGUGUGCUCAAACCCAUUAACCAAAAUAAAACCCUUCCCU